AAAUUGAAGAGUUUGAUCAUGGCUCAGAUUGAACGCUGGCGGCAGGCCUAACACAUGCAAGUCGAACGGUAACAGGAAUCAGCUUGCUGAUUUGCUGACGAGUGGCGGACGGGUGAGUAAUGUCUGGGAAACUGCCUGAUGGAGGGGGAUAACUACUGGAAACGGUAGCUAAUACCGCAUAACGUCGCAAGACCAAAGAGGGGGACCUUCGGGCCUCUUGCCAUCGGAUGUGCCCAGAUGGGAUUAGCUAGUAGGUGGGGUAACGGCUCACCUAGGCGACGAUCCCUAGCUGGUCUGAGAGGAUGACCAGCCACACUGGAACUGAGA
This 327-nucleotide ribosomal RNA is filed under the name Escherichia coli. Its description in RNAcentral is "bacterial SSU rRNA". It matches the Rfam family "Bacterial small subunit ribosomal RNA", at positions 1 to 324 of the family's 1533-position model. The record is from RNAcentral. Lineage: Bacteria; Pseudomonadati; Pseudomonadota; Gammaproteobacteria; Enterobacterales; Enterobacteriaceae.